Molecule: ribosomal RNA, 468 nt
Filed under: uncultured bacterium
Lineage: Bacteria
Description: partial 16S ribosomal RNA
Rfam family: Bacterial small subunit ribosomal RNA
Source: RNAcentral
GACGAACGCUGGCGGCGUGCUUAACACAUGCAAGUCGAACGGAAAGGCCCUGCUUUUGUGGGGUGCUCGAGUGGCGAACGGGUGAGUAACACGUGAGUAACCUGCCCUUGACUUUGGGAUAACUUCAGGAAACUGGGGCUAAUACCGGAUAGGAGCUCCUGCUGCAUGGUGGGGGUUGGAAAGUUUCGGCGGUUGGGGAUGGACUCGCGGCUUAUCAGCUUGUUGGUGGGGUAGUGGCUUACCAAGGCUUUGUCGGGUAGCCGGCCUGAGAGGGUGACCGGCCACAUUGGGACUGAGAUACGGCCCAGACUCCUACGGGAGGCAGCAGUAGGGAAUAUUGCACAAUGGGCGGAAGCCUGAUGCAGCAACGCCGCGUGCGGGAUGACGGCCUUCGGGUUGUAAACCGCUUUCGCCUGUGACGAAGCGUGAGUGACGGUAAUGGGUAAAGAAGCACCGGCUAACUACGUG